RNAcentral lists this ribosomal RNA (385 nucleotides) under Gmelina costata. RNAcentral describes it as "partial 16S ribosomal RNA". The stretch from base 241 to 385 matches the Rfam family "Bacterial large subunit ribosomal RNA", at positions 2473 to 2619 of the family's 2925-position model. The record is from RNAcentral. Lineage: Eukaryota; Metazoa; Arthropoda; Malacostraca; Amphipoda; Gammaridae.
UUGGAAACGAGCAUGAACGGGUUAAUUGAUUAAAGUAGUUUGUUUUAUUUUUAAGUAAUCUAAAGAUAAAGUAAUAAUUCUUUAAUUAACUAAGGGACGAUAAGACCCUAAAAGCUUUAUAAAAGGGGUAGUUUUAGUGAAUAAAACUAAAUUUAAUUUACUGGGGCAGUAAAUUUAUUUAAAUUAAAUUUUUGUUAAAUGAUCCUUUAAAUAAAGAAUAUGUGAAAGAGUUACUUUAGGGAUAACAGUGCUAUAUAUUUGGAGAUAUUAAAUCUAUAAGUAUGUUUGCAACCUCGAUGUUGAAUUAGAAUAUCUAUGUGGGCAUAAUAUACAUGAGAAAGUUUGUUCAACUUUUGAAUUUCUACAUGAUCUGAGUUCAAACCGG